RNAcentral lists this unclassified non-coding RNA (93 nucleotides) under Homo sapiens (human). Its description in RNAcentral is "phosphatidylserine synthase 2 (ENSG00000282367.1)". Lineage: Eukaryota; Metazoa; Chordata; Mammalia; Primates; Hominidae. The record is from RNAcentral.
AGGUAUUGUGGCCAGUAUUUUGGUUUUCUUAUGUUUUGGAGUCACACAAGCUAAAGACGGGCCAUUUUCCAGACCUCAUCCAGCUUACUGGAG